RNAcentral lists this ribosomal RNA (263 nucleotides) under uncultured Oscillospiraceae bacterium. Its description in RNAcentral is "partial 16S ribosomal RNA". It matches the Rfam family "Bacterial small subunit ribosomal RNA", at positions 77 to 339 of the family's 1533-position model. Lineage: Bacteria; Bacillati; Bacillota; Clostridia; Eubacteriales; Oscillospiraceae. The record is from RNAcentral.
AGCUUGCUUUCUCGAGCGAGUGGCGAACGGGUGAGUAACGCGUGAGGAACCUGCCUCAAAGAGGGGGACAACAGUUGGAAACGACUGCUAAUACCGCAUGACGCAUAAGAGUCGCAUGGCUUUUAUGCCAAAGAUUUAUCGCUUCAAGAUGGCCUCGCGUCUGAUUAGCUAGUUGGCGGGGUAACGGCCCACCAAGGCGACGAUCAGUAGCCGGACUGAGAGGAUGAACGGCCACACUGGAACUGAGACACGGUCCAGACUCC